Molecule: long non-coding RNA, 7201 nt
Organism: Megachile rotundata (alfalfa leafcutting bee)
Lineage: Eukaryota; Metazoa; Arthropoda; Insecta; Hymenoptera; Megachilidae
Source: RefSeq, a predicted model, not a curated record
ACAACGAUGUGUCAAAUAGUCGCAGUACUCGAUCAAGUAUAAUUAUAAUACUAACUUUUACUCUUGAUCGCUGAUGAGUGUUUGCUUUCAGGCGUACUCAUCGAAAUUUCUGGAUUUUUAUCAGUCCAUUGCUCGAUAUUAUCGUGAUCAAGAUAAGACAACGAUAAGUACGGUUCUAACAUUCACGAUUCAUCGAAAGGAUUUACAUAACGAUGCAUGUAUCACGCACCUGUUAUCGCACUGAAAUAUUUAGAAAAAUAUGUACGAUGAAGGAAAUUAAUAUUUUAACGACUGGGAUCAUCUGUUCGUCGCGAAGCUUAUACGAAUAAGUUUCAACGUAUCUGUACCAUGUCGAAGCAAAUUGUUUCCCCAUAAUUUCGUGAGGGCAACACGUCAUCCUCGCAGUGCAAUGUGUCUCUUCAAAGCGCACCACCAUUUUGAUUCGCAACGACGGUUUCAAAAUUUCGUCACGGCUGCUAGCUGUUCGUGAAACAACGGUGCACCGGUACGUGACGACCUUUACUUGUCCAAUGACUGUCAUGUUUAACAAUAUGUAAAGCAACUUGGUCGAGGAUACUAUUUUUCUUUUAACGAUAAAGAAUCUGAUCUUCCCAUCAAUACGCACUACGCUGUGGUAUACGUAGAUAAAAAACGAGAAGUAAGAAAUAUCUUCAACGACUGAAAAUUGCUGAAGUUUGUUAACUUUUUUAGUUCUACAUGUACGUAAUCCAUUUUUUCUAUGCUACACUACCUGUUUUAAAUUCAUUAUUCUUUUCAUCAACAACUACUGCUAUACAAUAUCCAUGGCAGUAAAUGUAGAACAAAGAGUACGAACACAGCACACAAUUGCUAGAUAAGAAUUCGUCGCAAAUAUUCUAUCGUUCGCAUUGCUGAUCUAGAAAGCACGAGAAAGGAAUGGUUUCGGCUAGUUCCCUCGGCUGUCGCAUUCCCAGCAUCCCGUUAGAAGUAUCGUAACGGUAAAAGCAACCGGUAGAUCCUUGCAUCGAUCCUUGAAACAUGAACCAACGCUGCAUCAUACUAACGUAUCUCAGCUCAAAGCUGUAAUACAUGAAGUCAAAUUUUGGAAGACUGCACGUGCGUGAAACCUUGGAGCCGUUAAAGAUUUAUACAGCGGUGAGGAAAAGUAACUUGAUACGAAGAUACGAAGAUACGUGUUCUUUUUCAAGAAAUGUUUUCACUGUACGUUUUUGCAUGGAUACGCUACAUACAUAUUAUUCGUUUAAAGUUAUUUAUUGACUUGCGAAUGGUGCAUGCUACAAAUUUAUUACCACUUAAUAGCAAAUAAAGUUGCAGCAAAAACGAUCCAAGAAGGAAUUUCUCGAUUCGUUCACCUUAAUCCAUACGUAGAAAUAAUAACGUAAAAUUGUCGCGUGAUCAUUUUGUCUGGCUGGAAAGGCAACACGCAGUGCAAUAUAAAACGAAAUGAAUGAAUCAGGGGGGAAGAAGCAGGAAAUAGCAGGUGGAGCUGACGGUCAGGAACAGGGAGACAUGCAUCAGUGGUCACGUGUUUUUCGACAAAAUUUAAACGCUCUGUUACUAAACAAAGUGCAUAAUUGACUGGGCCCAGAGUACAUAAAAAUGUGAAGUCGAAUUUAUUCACUUAGGCACUUGGGACUAACGAUCUAUGUUGGAAACUUCGUUGCACGUGUAUCUUUCUCGACUUGGUGGAAACGUCAGUGGAAUACGAAACUAGGCAAGUGCACCUGAAUCAUUGUUUUCCCUCGCGUAUCGGCGACCUGAGCUGUGGCUACGAGUCUAGACACAGACACUUCGCGGUGCUGUUCGAUUUCGUCACUGCGAGAAAGUAAGAGCCGCCUAUCUGUUGUCACGGUCAACGAACUCGGGACAGCUAAGUACUUUACCUUCGAUUUGGGGAAUUGAAACUUUCACACGAACACUCAAGAAUUAACGAAUUUGAAAACUUAAGAAUUUAAAAAUAUUGAAACACCAAAACUUCAAAACGUAUUUUGGGAUGCUGGAAUUUGUGAAUAUUUAAACUGUGAAACCUUGUAAUCCUUGACUCCCUAUCCAUCGGAACUUCAUUAACUGACCACUUUCACACCUACUCAUCGUAAAGACAGAACCGUACAUGAUGUGUAACAGAACUGCACAUGACGUAUAAAUUAUAGCGAUUAUCGUAGCGUAGUUAAACAUACUAAGUGGUCAGGUGUACGUUCGAACGAUGAAAUAAUGAAACAAGAUGAAAAUAUAUAGAGGUAAGAGGCUCGUCAACGGAUUUACAAUGGAGAUUACAUUAGAAUGGAGCGUUGGCACCUCGAACCAUAAAGUGCGGCCAACGACCUGUCUCUCCUGAACAAAAGGACAGGAUCGGAGGAAAGAAAAAUCUGAAUACUCGAAAUACAGUGCCAUUAACACCUUUAAACAUUUAAACUUCUUGCUAUUGAAUUCGUUUAUUGCUUUCAUUCUUUUCAAAUUCUUAUCAGUGACUUAUCGCAAUGUACAACUAAGAUUAUCAAGGUUAAUGUUAACAAUAAUGGAUCGAUACUUAAUCAUUUAAUGCGUCGUAGCUACGAAAUUUCUUGAUACUUAUAGACAGUGGAAAAUUCGCAUAGUUGAUAAUCAGUGAAAAAUUUUCAAUUCUAAUGUCAAACAGUCAACGUAAAAUCUUCCUAGUGCCUCAAAGUCAACACUAAUUUUCUUAGUACCGGCAGUUAACGCACAAUUCUCCUGGCAUAUAAUAGUCAGCGCAAAAUAUCCUUAGCAAGAUAUAGUCAGCGCAAAACACCUCUAUUACAUUAUAGUCAGCGCAAAGUAUCCCUAUUGCAUUAUAAUCAGCGCAAAGUAUCCCUAUAACACAAUAGUCAGCGCAAAAUAUCCCUAUUGUAUUAUAGUCAGCGCAAAAAGCCCUAUGACGCUAUAGUCAGUGCAAAAAGCUCUAUGACGCUUUAGUCAGCGCAAAAAUCCCUAUGACACUAUAGUCAGCGCAAAGUAUCCCUAACACACGAUAGUUCAUACAAAAUUCCCCUAUCACAUUACAACCAGUGAAAAAUACGCCUAGUACACGACACUCGAAGCAAAAUUCCUUUACUAUCAGAUAAAAUUCUUUAGUGCGUUAUAAUCAGCACUAGAUUUUUUAACACGUAGUACUGAAUGCUGCUUUGACACAAAAUAACACUAAACUUUUACAGCGCGAUAUACUCAGCGUCCAACAGUUAACAUCAAAAUUCCACAGCAUUACAAGUGUACGUUACUUCAUCGUGGAUUAUGGUGGCACAGAGUAACGUGUACGAGUUGUUCGUUAACGCACUCACGUACGGUAGUAUCAUUAUUUCACAGGCAGUUUAAUAUUAAUUGGAACAACCUUCGUGUGAUCAUCGUCAUCAACCGCUUUCAACGAUUAGAUUGAAUCGUGGGAUGUGAUUUUGUGCGUACGGUGACAUACUGCGCUAUUUAAUAUCUUUCCUCUUUAUCGUUCGCUGACUCUGCGUCUUUCGUUUCACUUCGAUUGUAGUUUAUAAUAUCGAGUAUCUCGAUGACUAAAAAUUCAACGGAGUAAGUCGAUUUUCGAGCAGAUCGAAGACACUGUUGCUGUGGUUGCAAAAUUGCCUUUAUUCAUAACAAAUUUGGAGUCAGUAAGAGAAAAUAGUUGUGCUAUAUAACGUAAAAAAUAAAUGUAAUAAUAAUAUUAAUAACUGGCAAAGAACAGUGAACAGACGUUUCAAAAAUUUCAUUUAUAAAAUUGCUUCGUUAAUGGCUUAUUCGCAUCUUGGAAAAGUCCUUGUAGUUUUGUUGCCAUUCACAUCAUAGCAAUAAUUACACUGACAACUGAGACGACCAUGGUUACAUAAUCGCGGAAAAAGGAUCGUUCAUUCCCAUGUACGCGAGAGUCGAUAUUGUGAGACGAGAAUCGAAUUGCCGAUGACUCAUGCGAACGAGAUCGUACGACCAAGGACCCCGGGUGAAUCGUUAGCCUCGUUCCUCUGUCACGAUUAAGGACACGCCAGUGUUUGUUCCGUAAUUAAUUCAUCAGCUGAUCGAAACCGGCUUCAUUAACAUCCUCCACAAGUAUAACUAUCUGAUCGCACAGAAAUAUUACGCGCCCCUCUUUAUGUUUAAUUAAAUAACCUAGGCAUUGAAACAGAUGCACAAAUGUCAAAGCGUAGGCUGUGGUAGACAAGAUGGCGCAUUAUGCUUGCUAAUGACUGGACUAUGCUAAUAAGGAUCUUUGUAGAAUCAGCAGCAACACGAACUUGUAAAGUAUAUUUGAAAUAAUAGACGAACUGAUAAAUCAAUCGUACGGAUUCCCACCGACGAAAGAAACGACACGAGGAAAGCAGGAACACCGUGUGAAAUGUAUGUCGUAUAUUGUUUGACCGACGUUCUAUCACUCGAACAUGUUCUGGUCUAACGCUGUUUAUAAAUAAUGUCAAAUACUGUAUGACUAUUGAGAGUGGUGCCACUAAUGUAAGUCCAAUGAAUGGGUUACUUGUUCUGGAUGCUAUUAUUAAAUAAAUAAAAAUCAGACAUCAGUGUGUUACACAUGUACAUCCACUACCUAAGGAAAUUGCGUUAACUGAUUCACUACUGUCAGUACAAUAUUAUUAUAAACUAUAUCAGUACGAUAUCGUAAUCAAUGGUUUAUCAUAACUACAGGUAAAAAAAAAUGGUAAAAAAUGAUUCACUCCAGGAUAAACAGUCGAAAAAAAUUAUUCGGACAACAUGUUAUAUUUAUAAUUAAAGAACACAUGUGCUUAAGAAGAUCUUCAUGCAUCAUACUUGCAUCAGCAGAUUACAUUCGAAAGUACCGUUACCCGGCAUCAAUUAUUUUCACAGAAUUUUUCAAAUCUUGUAAUUUAUAAUCAUCGUUACGAUGUAAUUUCUCUACCACAAACUACAAAAAUAAAAUACCUUAUUAGCAUUGCAAAAGAUUAGUAAGUACCCAUCAGCAGAACCACCGAUAGAGUUUGUGCAGUGGAGCCUCUUUAUAUCACCACGAGUUGUACGGUCACGCAUUAUAUUACUGUACAUUAAACGACCAAGAAUUGUACUACCAUUAUGUAGUUAAACACUGUAACUUCACAGAAUUUGAUACCUGCUACUAUAUAUGAUUCAGUUAAUUUUUUAAAAAUUUGAAAUCUCAAAGAUGGAGGCCUAGGGCAAGAAUCCCAUUUGUUCCGUACUAACGACGAUACUAUCAAUAAGUAAAUACUAACACCGUCAAAAGAUGAAAAGGGUUCACUGAUAUGUAUGAACCCCGCAUCACGAAAUGCAGGUGAAGAUAUUAUAAUGGCGUUGAAAACAUGAAUACGGAACUAAUAUGUAAAGCAUAUGUUGCUGAAGUACUAUUUCUCGUUGACCUUUUAUUCAGUGAUUCAUAUAAUACUACAUGUAAACACAAAGCGGGACAUAAGCCCAUUGCAAACGCUACAUCGUUCUGCGAUUAAUGAUUUCAAAAUCGAUAUCAACGAGAGGAACGGUUGAGGGCUUUUUCGCCGAUAAAAACAGAAGGCCAAAAGUUGAUCUACCGGUUAUUCCAUUACUACUUCGUUCAGUUAUUGAAUACUGCUAAAUACUUGCUAAAUUGUAUAAUGAUCUAAUACGAUCAUAGGUGCACAUUAUCGUUAAGAUAACAAUUAACUUAUGCAGACAUUCAGAUCACGAUACUAUGUUAUGUACUGUUGUUCGCCAAUGAUGGAUAACCACAGAAAGUUCUUAUAUAAAGGAAGUGUCUGUUUUCAAAAUAGUUGCAUUGUACAAGAACUGAAAAAUGAAAAGCGUGUAAAGAGGUAAAGUUACUCACCGAAUCGAAGAACACAAGAACGGUCCGACCGGAACGACGUCUGACAUGCAACUGACGCUUCGACGCUUCAGUUCCACCGAAUCGGCAAUUUUCGUGUGUGUUCGGACAUGCCACGCGGCAAACAGCAAUCACCUGGCAAAUCGCAUGGCAGAAAUUGAAGCAUGAUUAUUAUCGUAACAACAGGUGGUAACAAAUUUGAUAAAAAAUCCCCUUAAAUAUUUGAACGGUUUCGAUCACUCCUUGUAUGCAGAAUAACCUUACAAACGAAUAUUGUGACUUUGAUUUACGAUCGUGUAGUUACGAUCGCGGUAAUAAACCAACCGCUUUACGUUCGUACGUUACACUUCACCUACUUUUUAAAAUGGUAUCUUCACAUGUUGACAUAACAUUAUCGUGCUACGUAAUCUCAGAAUUUUUAAUUAACUAUCUCAAAUGUAUUUUUAAACGUAAGGAUACCACGAUGAUGCUAACCAGGAGUGUUAAUUGUUAUACAACGUAAAUAUUAACUGUUGAAGUAAAAAAGGAUUCGAAGUAUAUUUGCGAAAUAAAUGAUUUGAAAUAACGCAUGAUAUGUACAGUACUCGCGAGAAACAUCAAGUUUCCAUAUUUAAUUGCUUAUAUCCAAGGAAAAGUUUUUUCCAAAAUACUAGUUUUCACUCAAUGGAAAUUUAUGUUGCCCGAAGGUGUACAUUUGCACGGCAUAAUUCUGGAAGGUGUAAAGUACGUUAUCGUUCUCAUGUCACUUCCUACUAUAUCGGUUAGAACGACAUUUUCUUUUGCGAAAAUGUUAUGAACUGAAAAUAUGUGCUCUCAUUAAAUGCACCAUUUGGAAUUUCAAGAAUCGUCAUUAAACGCGCGUGGAUUAAGUAAGCAUAUAACGGUAAGUAUAUAUUGUAAGUUCUACAUUAUCUACAUUAAUAAAAUUUGUUGUCAUUCUUAUAUCAUUUCCUAUAUCAUCGACGAGAUACAGUAUAAUCUGCAAACUGUUCUGAACACAUAAUUUGCACCUUCAGAUCCACGGAAUAUAUUGCAAACAGCAUAAAAAUGAUAUUAAUAAAUAUAUAAUUAAUAUAUAGCAUAUUAAUCAUUAUUAAUUAAAUUUUUAGCAAAAUGGAACAAAUGGCGUCAUCUCUCCGGCGAACAGGGUGAACUACACACUUUUGAAACUGCAGUUUAAUUAGUUCUCAUCUUCCACUAGAUGACAACACAUGUAAAAAUUAAACCUACACCACCUAAUGUUCAAAAAAGAAAUUAAAAAAGAAAAUAUACAACCCUUUAAAUAUCAAUUUAAUAUUGUAUUAAAUUCUUAGAAUAAAGGAAGCGUUGUUACACAGAAUUUUACAGUAAAUUCUAUAUAAAUGUAAUAGCAUUUAUUUUAUUCGAAUAAAAUUCGUUAUAUUCAUGAUAUUAAUACUUUCA